RNAcentral lists this small nuclear RNA (18 nucleotides) under Arabidopsis thaliana (thale cress). Its description in RNAcentral is "snRNA_08392". Lineage: Eukaryota; Viridiplantae; Streptophyta; Magnoliopsida; Brassicales; Brassicaceae. The record is from RNAcentral.
UCAACGAGCUCACUAUCG